Drosophila arizonae is the source of this 1897-nucleotide long non-coding RNA. RefSeq lists it as uncharacterized. The record is from RefSeq and is a predicted model, not a curated record. Lineage: Eukaryota; Metazoa; Arthropoda; Insecta; Diptera; Drosophilidae.
UAGUAAAAGUAUAAAAAAAAAAUAAUUUUGUUUUGUGCGGUUUUCGGAAAUAAAAGCUAAAAGUAAUUCGAACAAAAUGCGUCCAUCACCGAUUAACUACAGCAAUUCUUCGCGCAUUGAGCGUCAGCGCAUGCGUACCAUAUUGAGGGGACUCAGGCUGUCGAAGAGAGUUCGACGCGCCUUGCGGAACUUCUUGAAGGAGCUGGUAACGCUUCAGAUUGUCAUCAGCGAUUUUCAGAUGUUAUCUAACCAAUUGAGUGCACAGACCGACUAGCUCUAAUUUUAUCACGAAAUAUACACAUUUACACUGAAAAAAAAAACAUAAUUCAGACAGGCUUUUCAGUGUUCACAUAAAAAUUGCAUACAGAAAGAAAUAUCGACAAUUUUCAGAUGUCAGCUGACUAAUUAAAUAUAACGAAAAUACUAUAACGAAAUACGCACUUUUGCAAUAAUUUACACAGAACAAAAAACUCUUCACAUAGUUCAGACAGUUUUUUCCGUAACCACUUUAAAAUUGCUAAAUUAACUAUUUUCAAGCAUCUCUGGCGAAAAAAACUUAAGUACAGAAAAACAGAUCGACAAUUUUUUAGAGGAUUAGAUUAGUUAGUGGAGAGACCAUUCAACAUAUUUUAAAGCUGAUGCUCUGAGAAGUAUCAAGAGCAAAUUUUAUGCUUUGACUUCACUGCGAGCUGCUCAUACAAACGACAAUUCGCACAACAAAUUAUCAACAUAGUAACUAUUGGGUAUAUGUCAUAAAAAUAUCGAUAACAAUUUUGAUGCAACAUGCAAACUUAUUGAUAUUUUCCUUCGCAUCCAAGUGGGCUCUGAAAAAAUUCCUAUAUCCCAGCGCAGAGAAUAAAAAAUAUUCAGUCUGAAUCGACUACUCGUCUAGAGCACAUUGUGAGCUUGUGAAAUAAAAGGAAAAAAUAAUAAGUAAAAAUAUAAAAAUAAAAAAAAAAAAAAUAAUUUUUUUUCGUGCGGUUUUCGGAAAUAAAAGCUAAAAGUAAUUCGAACAAAAUGCGUCCAUCACCGUUUAACUACAACAAUUCUUCGCGCAUGGAGCGUUCGCGUGGCACGUUCGGGGGAGUCAGGCUGUCGAAGAAGGCUCGUCGCGCUUUGCAGAACUUCUUGAAGGAGCUGGUAGCGCUUCAGAUUGUCAUCGACAAUUUUCAGAUGUUAUCUAACCACUUGGAGGAGGAGAGCGCCGAUUAGUUCUUAUUCUAUAAAGAAAUACACGCUUUUGCUACAAUUUACACCGAAAAAAAAAACUCUUCAGGCAGCAUUUUCGUGGCCACGUGAAAAUUACAAAAUUCAGCUUCGUCGGCAAAAAAACAAGCUUAAAUACAGAAAAAAUAUAGACAAUUUUCAGAUGUCAGCUGACUAAUCGAAUAUUGAGGAAGAUUACACACAAUUUACACCGAGAAAAGAACUUUUCGCAUAGUUCAAGUAGAUUUUCCGUGGCCACUUUAAAGUUACGAGCUUAAUCGUUUUAAGCAUCUUUGACAAGCACAAACUUAAACACAGAAAAAAAGAUUGACAAUUUUCAGAUGUCAGCUGACAUUGAAUACAAAUGAAGACUUGUUCUAAUUCUACAACGAAAAACACACUUUUGCUACCUUUUACACCGCGAAAAGAACUUUUCACAUAGUUCAGGCAGCUUUUUCCGUGGCCACUUUAAAAUUGCGAAAUUAACCGUUUUCAAGCAUCUCGGCCCCAAGAAACUAACUUAAGUACAGAAAAAACACGAUGUUUGCCGCUUGCUCAGCAAAUACGCUUGACACUGAGAUUACCAAUUCAAGAACACGAGGAGAGCACUAGGCAAAAGUCACGGCUGCUUAUCAACACUUGUUCAAAUAAAUGUUCGAAAAAUUAAAAACAGAAACAAAACAGAGCAGAA